GGCUUUUCGUCUUUUCUCUCUCGAUGACUCACGCACCCGCACGUCCUACAGGCACCCAUCGCCUGCUGCUGCAAGUGUCUGCGUACUGCGUUCCUCUUUGUUGUUCUCUUUCUCCUCUCUCCACCCGGUGACGCGGAGAGGGGACACACCUCCGUGAGCGGUACCGCAGGGGCCAGUACACCCCCUCCCCCCACUCUGCGUGGGGAAGCCAAGCAGCCUCUCCCUAUCCCCUGCCAAUGCCGAGCCACCUCUGGUGGUGACAGGGCCAAGUGCCUACGACGUGAGGGGGAGGCCAGAGUGGUUUGCCGCUACGGAUGCCGGCGGUCAGGCUGUGGACAUUGUUGCGCUGGAGAGGCCAGCGACGGUGCGCACGCUUCUGCCAUCCGUGUGAUGGGCGAAGUGUCAGCGCGACUCGUACGUAUCCCACCCCCGGGCCUCGCACUGCCCCACUGGUGUGGGGCGCCGGAGUGCGGGACCGCGAGGAGAUGCACUGGGUGGCGACCAGCACAAGGGUAGCUGCUGUGAGGCGACCUGCGAUGCGGGGAGGGGGGGGCGAGUAGAGUUUUGCGUAGGGGCGGUGCUGGGAUGACGGAGUCGGCGUAUUGCUGUAACACGUGUGUCUAGCGCUGCCUCGCCCCACGCGGAUGGGGCCUGUGACAGGCCCUGAGGUGAGGUGAGUGGUGUUUCACUCAUGCUGUGCGGCAGAGAUGGCGGGCACCUUGAAGGAAAGAGUCGUAGCCUCUCCUGUUUUGAGUGUUGCUUUUGCUGCUGCUGCUUACGGUGCCUUUGCUAUAGGUACGUGUGCACUGGAUCCGGUGCGGCUCAUCGUCCUCUCCCUUUCCAACCCGGUGUUUCUCACGCAUGGAAGUCACCGAAAACAAGGCGCUGCCCAUGUCUUUUGUGUAUCUGUGCUUUUGUAGAUAUGCUCACUUCUCUACAGAUGCCGCUGCACCACUUUCUUCGCGCCCUUAUUGUGCUCACGCGCAUGAUUUUUUCCAUUCAGUGUGUGCUUCUCCUCUGUUGCGUUUUCGACUUCGUUUUUCCUCUGUGCUCCAGCUCCCCGUGUAUGCACCCCAUCACCUUCCGUGUGUGUGUGUGUGCUUCGGGUCCGCCCCCUGCUACGCUGGCUUGGCUAAUUUUGUUUGCCUCGGAGUUUUUCUUCCUGUUCCGGUGCCACGAGUGCGAGUGUCCACUUGUGCGUGUGUAGGGGUACGCGUGUGUGUGUAUGCAUGUGCAACGCUUAUUGUGUGUGUCUCUUUUUGCCGUAUACCUCUUCCACUCCCUUCUCUUUUCCUAUAUCGUGCCCAACUGGACUACCCCCGAUGUAGAUCUUUGUGGACUGUUUUUUUUUUUUCUCUUCACCUCACCUCACCUUUAUCGGCCUUGGCGGAUCCCUCGUGUACCGUACCACCGUUACUUCGCCGUGGCGAAGGCGUUGCCUGGGGCACGGAAUGCCGACGUCGGACUCCCGCGCGCUCUCUCCUUCUUGCUUUCUUUUAAUCUCCUCCUCAUCCAGCAGGUGGGCGCACAAGUCCCUGCGGAAGGACUAUGACUUUCCUCCCUUUGUUCUUAGUGCUCUUUUCUGGGGACAUCGCCGUGCGACGAGAUCGGUGCGUGAUCGACUUGUCUUUUCUUUCUCCAGUGGCAGCAGGAUCUCUCUACUACCUGCCACGGCUACGUCUAGUUUCCAUUUUCUUUGAAAGGGGACCCUAGUGGCCUUAUGGGCGCCUCCUCCCUCGCUAUUUCCGCUGUUUGUGCCUUCAGAGUAAGUCCCGCUCAUUCGACCCCCUUCAUGUUUUUGCCGGGUGAGACAGGAAGCUGGGAAGACAGAUGGUACUGCACUCUCGUCAGAACAUCAACACAACAUAUACGGUUAUCCAUGGUCUUGUGUAAAAGAUGCAUUCUGUUCCUACCGCUAUGGCCUCGACGUAAGCGGCGCGAUUGCACACACCCAGAAGUCGGAUCGAUGGACACGAAUAUGCUGGCUCACUCACAGACUCGGUGUCACUCUCUCUCCCCCUUUGUCCAUCUCUCUCCUUUCUCUCUCACACGUUGGCGAAG
This 2061-nucleotide unclassified non-coding RNA is filed under the name Leishmania donovani. RNAcentral's name for it is "gene:unknown". The record is from RNAcentral. Lineage: Eukaryota; Euglenozoa; Kinetoplastea; Trypanosomatida; Trypanosomatidae.